AAAAUGCGAUAAGUAGUAUAAAUUACAGAAUUCAGUAAAUCAUUAAAUCUUUAAACGCACAUUGCGCCCCUCAGUAUUCCGUGGGGCAUGCCUGUUCAAGCGUCAUCUACACCCUUAAGCUCUACUUGGUGUUGGGCGUCUGUCCCACCUUCGCGCGUAGACUCGCCCUAAAUGCAUUGGCAGCGGUCCUUACUCCCUCCCACGCAGCACAUUACGCUUCUCGAGGCUGCGGCGGCCUGCGUCCAACAAGCUAAACCCCCCCGUCUUUAACCUCGGAUCAGGUAGGAAUACCCGCUGAACUUAAGC
This 306-nucleotide unclassified non-coding RNA is filed under the name plant metagenome. RNAcentral describes it as "partial contains 5.8S ribosomal RNA, internal transcribed spacer 2, and large subunit ribosomal RNA". The stretch from base 1 to 105 matches the Rfam family "5.8S ribosomal RNA", at positions 50 to 154 of the family's 154-position model. The record is from RNAcentral.